Molecule: ribosomal RNA, 466 nt
Filed under: uncultured bacterium
Lineage: Bacteria
Description: partial 16S ribosomal RNA
Rfam family: Bacterial small subunit ribosomal RNA
Source: RNAcentral
GACGAACGCUGGCGGCGUGCUUAACACAUGCAAGUCGAACGAUGAAGCCCAGCUUGCUGGGUGUAAGAGUGUCGAACGGGUGAGUAACACGUGAGUAACCUGCCCUGAACUCUGGGAUAAGCACUGGAAACGGUGUCUAAUACUGGAUACGACCUAUCACCCCAUGGUGUGUGGGUGGAAAGAUUUAUCGGUUCUGGAUGGACUCGCGGCCUAUCAGCUAGAUGGUGAGGUAAUGGCUCACCAGGGCGACGACGGGUAGCCGGCCUGAGAGGGUGACCGGCCACACUGGAACGGAGACACGGCCCAGACUCCAACGGGAGGCAGCGGUGGGGAAUAUUGCACAAUGGGCGCAAGCCGGAUGCAGCAACGCCGCGUGGGGGAUGACGGCCUUCGGGUUGUAAACCUCUUUUAGUAGGGAGGAAGCGGAAGUGACGGUACCGGCAGAAAAAGCACCGGCUAACUACGU